AUCCAGCUGACGAGUCCCAAAUAGGACGAAACGCGCGUCCAAUUGGAU
Non-coding RNA from Schistosoma mansoni, 48 nucleotides. Lineage: Eukaryota; Metazoa; Platyhelminthes; Trematoda; Strigeidida; Schistosomatidae. The record is from Rfam.